GAUGAACGCUAGCGGGAGGCCUAACACAUGCAAGCCGAGCGGUAUUGUUUCUUCGGAAAUGAGAGAGCGGCGUACGGGUGCGUAACACGUGUGCAACCUGCCUUAUCUGGGGGAUAGCCUUUCGAAAGGAAGUUUAAUACUCCAUAAUAUAUUGAACGGCAUCGUUUAAUAUUGAAAGCUCCGGCGGAUAGAGAUGGACACGCGCAAGAUUAGCUAGUUGGUGAGGUAACGGCACACCAAGGCGAUGAUCUUUAGGGGGCCUGAGAGGGUGAUCACCCACACUGGUACUGAGACACGGACCAGACUCCUACGGGAGGCAGCAGUGAGGAAUAUUGGUCAAUGGGUGCAAGCCUGAACCAGCCAUCCCGCGUGAAGGACGACUGCCCUAUGGGUUGUAAACUUCUUUUGUAUAGGGAUAAACCUACCCUCGUGAGGGUAGCUGAAGGUACUAUACGAAUAAGCACCGGCUAACUCCGUGCCAGCAGCCGCCGUAA
RNAcentral lists this ribosomal RNA (494 nucleotides) under uncultured bacterium. RNAcentral describes it as "partial 16S ribosomal RNA". It matches the Rfam family "Bacterial small subunit ribosomal RNA", at positions 28 to 523 of the family's 1533-position model. The record is from RNAcentral.